AGCAGCUUCAAGUGACAUCCAGCGACAUCAUCUGGUUCCGAGUUCCGACGGCGCUGCUUCUUCUCCGGCUACACUUCUUCUUCUCCGGCUACCCUGCUUCUUCUCCGGCGACCCUUCUUCUUCUCCGGCUACCCUUCUUCUUUCUCCGGUGGCAGUAGUUCUUCCACACUCCAACAGGUUAGCAGUGGAGAGAGUUAGCGGCAAGUCCAGCGUAACCUGAUGCUUCUCCAAGUACCCUCUCAAGUUCAUCGUUCCCACAAAGGUAAGGUAGGGGUGGGGGGAUAAUGCACGGUCCUCCCAACCGCCGGAGUGAUCUCACUCCGGGAGCCGCUACCCGACAUAUGCCACUCCCAAGACUCGAACCUGGUACCUCUGGGAAGAGGUGGGUGUCGGUGGCCAACUGGGCUACCCCAGUUGGUUAAACAAAGGCUGGGCGUUCAGAAAUUGAUGCUGUUUGGAUCUACACUCUCACUUAUGGGCGAUUGUAUCUCCUUUGACAUUACUGUUGAAGAUGAUUGCACUGCUGUUUUGACAACUCAGGCAUCUACUAAGGUGUAUAAAUCGGUGGCCUUGAAGUGCUCUGAGCAAAUUAUGGAGUAGGCAAGCAUAGGCAAUGGUGGCCUUUUGGUUGUCAUUCCAGAUCCAGUGACAUGUUUUUCUACUGCGAAAUACUCCCAAAAGCAAGUGUUGAGAAUCAUGUCUGGCUCGAGCUUGCUGGUUGUUGAUUGGAUCACUAGUGGGCGUCAUGAAAGUGGAGAAAAAUGGGAUUUCAUACUUUAUAAAAGCACCAACCAUAUAUAUAUUAUGGAAACCAAGCCUCUAUUUCUUGAUACGGUACUACUUGAGAACGGAAAUGUUACGAGUAUCGCUGAACGCAUGCAAGAUUACCAAGUAAUUGCAAUGGUUAUUUUGCUGGGGCCUAAGUUGAAGCACAUACAAAACCAAAUUCAAGAAGAUGUGAAGAAGAUAAUGUCAGAGCAACUAUCUAUGGGGGGAAGAACUAAAGCAAUUAAUGGUGAUGGCUAUACAAAGCCACCCCUUGUCGCUUCUUGUAACUCCUUUGGUCCAAAGGGAAUCGGUAGUGUUGUCAGAAUAGCUGCCACAACAACAGAAUCAGUCUACGGGUUUCUUCGUAGUCAAUUGGCUGGUUUGGAACCAUUGAGUGGUUUGUGCCCGUACCACUAGAUCUUGCAAAUUCAUUGUGAUCCAUCUCACACACCCUCUAUAAGUCAACUAUAAUUUCUUUCAUUGUUAUUUGUCUGGAUGUUCAAUAUUAUAAGAUGCAAUUUUAUAAUGGAAACCGAGACACGUGAGAUUAUCAUAUGAAACCUAUUGCAUUAUUGUUGGUGCAUACGU
This is an RNA transcript of Helianthus annuus (common sunflower), 1356 nucleotides long. It is a transcript of the gene named urease accessory protein D, with no coding region annotated. The record is from RefSeq and is a predicted model, not a curated record. The transcript is spliced from 9 exons. Lineage: Eukaryota; Viridiplantae; Streptophyta; Magnoliopsida; Asterales; Asteraceae.